This 1742-nucleotide long non-coding RNA is filed under the name Oryza sativa (Asian cultivated rice). RNAcentral describes it as "long non-coding RNA (OSAT_LNC000532)". The record is from RNAcentral. Lineage: Eukaryota; Viridiplantae; Streptophyta; Magnoliopsida; Poales; Poaceae.
GAGGUGAGAUUUCCUAUUACCUUUCAACUCUUGGGGUUUUUCUCAGGGUUCUAGUUAGGCCUUGAUAUGGCAGUGGUAAACUGGAUGGCGUGUGGAUUUGUUUGUGAUGCCACGAGAUUAGUCGUAAUUUGUUAGUGCUCCAUUGAUGUGUGUGCUUUUCAUUUGUGGGGACUGGGGGUUGGUGGUUCCUAGAGAGUAGACAAAGUGAUCACCACUAAUCUAAGGCCAGCAGUAUAAUAAUAUUUUAACAGUACGGACUUUUCUAUAUUAUAUACCCGGAUAAUACCGUCAAAUUGGGUUUGUUCGUAUUCUUGUUGGUGGGUCGGCGUUACUUGACAUCCUCUAGAUCUAGAGGUGGUUAAAUAUCCGUGACCUCAUUUACAUUUCCGUAAGACCUUGUUUAUUUACCAUAAACAUGCUAAUUGUUAUUUUUUAGUUAUUGUUGGCUCAUGUGUUUGUGUCAGUUGAGUCACAUAGGAUUCAUUUUCAUGCAUGCUGUAUGGUGUGAAGUUUGUUAUCCAUUCAUGCACAAGGAUAUUAUUUUUAAGGAUGUCGCCUUAUCCUUUUUCUUUGUAGUCUGGCUAUUCUCAAAGUAGUCACUGAUUUACCAUGGUUGUUUGCGGCAUUUCCCUGUUCAGGGUUUUGAUAGUUACUGAUCUUUCAUUUUAUCAUUUUUAUUUUUUACUCAGGAUAGUAGUUCUCAUCCUAAUCGAUGUCAUACUCUAAACCAUGACAAAUAAACAAUUAUUUUCUGAAUUAAUGGAAGAAGCCUUGGGGACCUGGAAGAAGCCUUGGGGACCGGGGUUGUUUCCGUUCUCUAUGCAUGAUAUAGUUUGAUCUGUUGGAUUGUGCCAUGUAGGAUAUUUGUUGUGCUUUGUGAAUAUAAACUUAAGAAAGCAUCCAUUAUUUACAAGUCUAGUUGGUUCAGAUAAAGUAUAUUAGGGCCUCCCAACUUAUUGCAUUGACAUAAAAUGAUAAUUAGGGGUUCAAUCUGAAGGCAGUUGGAAAGCUUAAUGAAAAAACAGUGGGCCGAUAUAUAUCUAUAUGUUAUGUUUUAGGAAACUUUAGAAAGGUGACUUGGUGCUUGUUUUAGGAUAUAAUAACUGUUAUGGAUAUAUCUUUUUUUAUAAAUACAUAAUGUUCAGUAAUUAUUAUGCACCUUCAACAAUAUCACCGAUGAUAGUAAUAUAUAUCAUAUAUGUAACAUUAUACAGUGCUUAAAAUUUGCUUGUGCAUAUCUGGCUCAUCUUUAUAUUUAUUUCUAAAAUGGAGAGAUGAUUAAGUGUUUUUUUAUGUUCCAUUUUAUAUUCAUUGUGUUGUUAAUUGAGAUUGUUUUCAUCCUUCCUUGACCUUUUGCAGGACAAACCUGCACCCCCACCUGAGGGCCGUCUUCCUGAUGCUACCAAGGGUAUGUUGCCAGUUUACACUACUAGUCUCUUCCAGGAACUAUAGAAACAUUCACCACUAUUGCCAUAAAAGAAACCCUUGCAAAUAAGUCAUCCUUUAAAAUGUUUUUGUUUCUGCAAUAGUUGAGGUGUUAUUUCUGUGUAGCACAUCUAAAAUGCUUAGUUAUGGUAGAAGUUUUUCCCACUGCACACUUGACAAAUGAUUCCUGUGUUGUUGUAGGCAUGUUGUAUUUUUCUGCAUGCUUCAUUUCUGAUAUGAUCCUGCUUUGACCUUGUUCUAGUAAACCUCAUGUAAAGCACCAUUGCUUACACUUUGAGCUUGAUUGCUUUACCAGG